RNAcentral lists this transfer RNA (76 nucleotides) under Oscillospiraceae bacterium. Its description in RNAcentral is "tRNA-Lys". It matches the Rfam family "tRNA". From Rfam's summary of the family: Transfer RNA (tRNA) molecules are approximately 80 nucleotides in length. The record is from RNAcentral. Lineage: Bacteria; Bacillati; Bacillota; Clostridia; Eubacteriales; Oscillospiraceae.
GCACCAUUAGCUCAGUUGGUAGAGCACCUGACUCUUAAUCAGGGUGUCCUGAGUUCGACCCUCAGAUGGUGCACCA